RNAcentral lists this non-coding RNA (99 nucleotides) under Spirochaetota bacterium. RNAcentral describes it as "Spirochaetes bacterium TPP sequence". It matches the Rfam family "TPP riboswitch aptamer (THI element)". Rfam says of the family: Vitamin B(1) in its active form thiamin pyrophosphate (TPP) is an essential coenzyme that is synthesised by coupling of pyrimidine and thiazole moieties in bacteria. The previously detected thiamin-regulatory element, thi box was extended, resulting in a new, highly conserved RNA secondary structure, the THI element, which is widely distributed in eubacteria and also occurs in some archaea. Analysis of operon structures identified a large number of new candidate thiamin-regulated genes, mostly transporters, in various prokaryotic organisms. The record is from RNAcentral. Lineage: Bacteria; Pseudomonadati; Spirochaetota.
UAGGGGUGUCUUGGGGUGGCCGUCGUCGAGCGGCCUGAGAUUACACCCGUAGAACCUGAUCUGGGUAAUGCCAGCGAAGGGAGGCACGUAAACUCACAC